GAACGCUGGCGGCAUGCCUUACACAUGCAAGUCGAACGGCAGCGGGGGGGGCUUGCUCCCUGACGGCGAGUGGCGGACGGGUGAGUAACACGUAGGAAUCUACCUUAAUUAUAAUAGUUAGUGGGGGAUAACCCGGGGAAACUCGGGCUAAUACCGCAUAAUCUCUUCAAAGCAAAGCGGGGGAUCUUCGGACCUCGUGCUAUGAGAUGAGCCUGCGUCGGAUUAGCUAGUUGGUAGGGUAAUGGCCUACCAAGGCGACGAUCCGUAGCUGGUCUGAGAGGACGAUCAGCCACACUGGGACUGAGACACGGCC
RNAcentral lists this ribosomal RNA (313 nucleotides) under uncultured Coxiella sp. Its description in RNAcentral is "bacterial SSU rRNA". It matches the Rfam family "Bacterial small subunit ribosomal RNA", at positions 31 to 331 of the family's 1533-position model. The record is from RNAcentral. Lineage: Bacteria; Pseudomonadati; Pseudomonadota; Gammaproteobacteria; Legionellales; Coxiellaceae.